This 483-nucleotide ribosomal RNA is filed under the name uncultured bacterium. Its description in RNAcentral is "partial 16S ribosomal RNA". It matches the Rfam family "Bacterial small subunit ribosomal RNA", at positions 30 to 507 of the family's 1533-position model. The record is from RNAcentral.
AUUGAACGCUGGCGGCAGGCCUAACACAUGCAAGUCGAGCGGAUGAAGGGAGCUUGCUCCUGGAUUCAGCGGCGGACGGGUGAGUAAUGCCUAGGAAUCUGCCUGGUAGUGGGGAUAACGUCCGGAAACGGGCGCUAAUACCGCAUACGUCCUGAGGGAGAAAGUGGGGGAUCUUCGGACCUCACGCUAUCAGAUGAGCCUAGGUCGGAUUAGCUAGUUGGUGGGGUAAAGGCCUACCAAGGCGACGAUCCGUAACUGGUCUGAGAGGAUGAUCAGUCACACUGGAACUGAGACACGGUCCAGACUCCUACGGGAGGCAGCAGUGGGGAAUAUUGGACAAUGGGCGAAAGCCUGAUCCAGCCAUGCCGCGUAUGUGAAGAAGGUCUUCGGAUUGUAAAGCACUUUAAGUUGGGAGGAAGGGCAGUAAGUUAAUACCUUGCUGUUUUGACGUUACCAACAGAAUAAGCACCGGCUAACUUCGUG